This 797-nucleotide long non-coding RNA is filed under the name Felis catus (domestic cat). Its description in RNAcentral is "lncRNA (ENSFCAG00000048398.1)". Lineage: Eukaryota; Metazoa; Chordata; Mammalia; Carnivora; Felidae. The record is from RNAcentral.
GGCAACGCAGAUUGAGUCUCCUAGAGUUUGGUGGUACACGGGUCCCCCUGCUAAGCUCCUCCAGGAAGGCUCUGGACAAAGUUCAGCGAUCGCAUUGAGGUAUUGACACAGCACGAAGGAGGCAGUGGUCCUGACAAAGCUUCAUGAGAGCCAGCUGCUAAAAGCGAGCGUAAGGUCAGCCCUGAAACCUGGUUCCGAGAGCGCCUGCCCUGAUCGCAUAGGACAGGUCUGUGUUCAGACAGCAGGCUGAAUCUCUGAGUCCGUGACCUGGCCAGCGCGGGUCCUGACCCCGGAAGCAAAGCUUUCACCACAAAGAACCGAGACGUAAAAGGAAAACUCCUGUGCAGCACGAGUUGUCUCAGAGAUGCAAAACUGGAAAGCUGUUUUACCGGCACUCUUUCCAGCUGCAGCUGCUUAAAAACCAUAAACUGUGUGGGACUCAAGUAUGCCGGACAUGAUGGACCUACCGACAAGUUCAUAAUGGAAAUUCUUUCAGACUGGUGGUGUGCAAAUGAACGACUGCUCUGUCUUCUGCAGAGGGCUACUUUUCGAUCCCUACUGGGCUGCAUUAUCCAACACACUCCCCUCACUCCUCCUCUGGCAGCAAAGAGCUUCUGAGACCCUCUCAUUGAACAGUUCAGCUGGCUUGAGAGAGACAUGGCAUCAUCUUCUUUUUAAAACAAUCUCUUUCACCCACUGAAGAUGAGUCAGUAAAAGUAUCUUCAUUAGCUUCUUUGGUUUCCUGUUAUCAUAAUUACUACUGUCACAUAUUGGACGGAUCUCUUGAAAACUGUACA